This 760-nucleotide ribosomal RNA is filed under the name uncultured Streptococcus sp. RNAcentral's name for it is "bacterial SSU rRNA". It matches the Rfam family "Bacterial small subunit ribosomal RNA", at positions 28 to 776 of the family's 1533-position model. Lineage: Bacteria; Bacillati; Bacillota; Bacilli; Lactobacillales; Streptococcaceae. The record is from RNAcentral.
GAUGAACGCUAGCUACAGGCUUAACACAUGCAAGUCGAGGGGCAGCAUAAUUAUUGCUUGCAAUAAUUGAUGGCGACCGGCGCACGGGUGAGUAUCGCGUAUCCAACUUUCCCAUAACUAGGGGAUAAUCCGUCGAAAGGCGGUCUAAUACUCUAUGUUGUCUAUUUAUGGCCUCAUAUUUAGACGAAAGAUUUAUCGGUUAUGGUUAGGGAUGCGUCCGAUUAGGUAGUAGGCGGGGUAACAGCCCACCUAGCCUACGAUCGGUAGGGGUUCUGCGAGGAAGGUCCCCCACAUUGGAACUGAGACACGGUCCAAACUCCUACGGGAGGCAGCAGUGAGGAAUAUUGGUCAAUGGACGAGAGUCUGAACCAGCCAAGUAGCGUGCAGGAUGACGGCCCUAUGGAUUGUAAACUUCUUUUGUAGAGGAAUAAUGGCAGCUACGAGUAGCUGAGAUGCAUGUACUCUACGAAUAAGUAUCGGCUAACUCCGUGCCAGCAGCCGCGGUAAUACGGAGGAUACGAGCGUUAUCCGGAAUUAUUGGGUUUAAAGGGUGCGUAGGUGGCGUAUUAAGUCAGUGGUGAAAAGCUGCAGCUCAACUGUAGUCUUGCCGUUGAAACUGAUAUGCUAGAGAGGAGACGAGGUAUGCGGAAUGUGUGGUGUAGCGGUGAAAUGCAUAGAUAUCACACAGAACGCCGAUUGCGAAGGCAGCGUACCACGCUCCGUCUGACACUGAAGCACGAAAGCGUGGGGAUCAAACAGG